CUGACGUUAGCGGCGGACGGGUGAGUAACACGUGGGUAACCUACCUAUAAGACUGGGAUAACUUCGGGAAACCGGAGCUAAUACCGGAUAACAUUUGGAACCGCAUGGUUCAAUAGUGAAAGACGGUUUCGGCUGUCACUUAUAGAUGGACCCGCGCCGUAUUAGCUAGUUGGUAAGGUAACGGCUUACCAAGGCGACGAUACGUAGCCGACCUGAGAGGGUGAUCGGCCACACUGGAACUGAGACACGGUCCAG
RNAcentral lists this ribosomal RNA (255 nucleotides) under uncultured Staphylococcus sp. RNAcentral describes it as "partial 16S ribosomal RNA". It matches the Rfam family "Bacterial small subunit ribosomal RNA", at positions 86 to 334 of the family's 1533-position model. The record is from RNAcentral. Lineage: Bacteria; Bacillati; Bacillota; Bacilli; Caryophanales; Staphylococcaceae.